GACGAACGCUGGCGGCGUGCUUAACACAUGCAAGUCGAACGGAAAGGCCCUGCUUUUGUGGGGUGCUCGAGUGGCGAACGGGUGAGUAACACGUGAGUAACCUGCCCUUGACUUUGGGAUAACUUCAGGAAACUGGGGCUAAUACCGGAUAGGAGCUCCUGCUGCAUGGUGGGGGUUGGAAAGUUUCGGCGGUUGGGGAUGGACUCGCGGCUUAUCAGCUUGUUGGGGGGGUAGUGGCUUACCAAGGCUUUGACGGGUAGCCGGCCUGAGAGGGUGACCGGCCACAUUGGGCCUGCGAUACGGCCCAGACUCCUACGGGAGGCAGCAGUGGGGAAUAUUGCACAAUGGGCGGAAGCCUGAUGCAGCAACGCCGCGUGCGGGAUGACGGCCUUCGGGUUGUAAACCGCUUUCGCCUGUGACGAAGCGUGAGUGACGGUAAUGGGUAAAGAAGCACCGGCUAACUACGUG
This 468-nucleotide ribosomal RNA is filed under the name uncultured bacterium. RNAcentral describes it as "partial 16S ribosomal RNA". It matches the Rfam family "Bacterial small subunit ribosomal RNA", at positions 28 to 507 of the family's 1533-position model. The record is from RNAcentral.